GAUUAAUACCUCAUAGUAUUAUAUUAAGGCAUCUUUUUAUAAUUAAAACUCCGGUGGUUAAAGAUGAGUAUGCGUCCUAUUAGCUUGUUGGUAAGGUAAAAGCUUACCAAGGCUACGAUAGGUAGGGGGCCUGAAAGGGUGAUCCCCCACACUGGUACUGAGACACGGACCAGACUCCUACGGGAGGCAGCAGUGAGGAAUAUUGCACAAUGGAGGAAACUCUGAUGCAGCCAUGCCGCGUGCAGGAUGAGUGCCCUAUGGGUUGUAAACUGCUUUUAUACAAGAAGAAACCUCGGUACGUGUACCGACUUGACGGUAUUGUAUGAAUAAGCACCGGCUAACUCCGUGCCAGCAGCCGCGGUAAUACGGAGGGUGCAAGCGUUAUCCGGAUUUAUUAGGUUUAAAGGGUCCGCAGGCGGAAUAUUAAGUCAGUGGUGAAAGCCUACAGCUCAACUGUAGAACUGCCAUUG
RNAcentral lists this ribosomal RNA (470 nucleotides) under uncultured Bacteroidota bacterium. Its description in RNAcentral is "bacterial SSU rRNA". It matches the Rfam family "Bacterial small subunit ribosomal RNA", at positions 161 to 629 of the family's 1533-position model. The record is from RNAcentral. Lineage: Bacteria; Pseudomonadati; Bacteroidota.